GAAGCGGCAACAGCUCAAAUUUGAAAUCUGGCGCAAGCCCGAGUUGUAAUUUGUAGAGGAUGCUUCUAGGUAGCGACCGGUCUAAGUUCCUUGGAACAGGACGUCAUAGAGGGUGAGAAUCCCGUAUGUGACCGGCCCGCACCUUCUACGUAGCUCCUUCGACGAGUCGAGUUGUUUGGGAAUGCAGCUCUAAAUGGGAGGUAAAUUUCUUCUAAAGCUAAAUACCGGCCAGAGACCGAUAGCGCACAAGUAGAGUGAUCGAAAGAUGAAAAGCACUUUGGAAAGAGAGUUAAAAAGCACGUGAAAUUGUUGAAAGGGAAGCGCUUACAACCAGACUUCUGGGCGGUGUUCCGCCGGUCUUUUGACCGGUCUACUCGCCGUCCCGAGGCCAACAUCAUCUGGGACCGCUGGAUAAGACCUGAGGAAUGUAGCUCCCCUCGGGGAGUGUUAUAGCCUCUGGUGAUGCAGCGCGUCUCGGGUGAGGUCCGCGCUUCGGCAAGGAUGUUGGCGUAAUGGUUGUCAGCGGCCCGUCUUGAAACACGGACCAAGGAGUCUAACAUCUAUGCGAGUGUUCGGGUGUCAAACCCCUACGCGUAAUGAAAGUGAACGGAGGUGGGAAGGGCAACCUGCACCAUCGACCGAUCCUGAUGUCCUCGGAUGGAUUUGAGUAAGAGCAUAGCUGUUGGGACCCGAAAGAUGGUGAACUAUGCCUGAAUAGGGUGAAGCCAGAGGAAACUCUGGUGGAGGCUCGCAGCGGUUCUGACGUGCAAAUCGAUCGUCAAAUUUGGGUAUAGGGGCGAAAGACUA
This 807-nucleotide ribosomal RNA is filed under the name Ramularia uredinicola. RNAcentral describes it as "eukaryotic LSU rRNA". It matches the Rfam family "Eukaryotic large subunit ribosomal RNA", at positions 95 to 933 of the family's 3401-position model. Lineage: Eukaryota; Fungi; Ascomycota; Dothideomycetes; Mycosphaerellales; Mycosphaerellaceae. The record is from RNAcentral.